This 116-nucleotide ribosomal RNA is filed under the name Oxya chinensis. Its description in RNAcentral is "partial 16S ribosomal RNA". The record is from RNAcentral. Lineage: Eukaryota; Metazoa; Arthropoda; Insecta; Orthoptera; Acrididae.
AAGAAUUUAAAGGUCGAACAGACCUAAUAAUUGGGCUACUGCACCCAAGAUUUAUCUUAAUCCAACAUCGAGGUCGCAAUCUGUUUUGUUGAUAUGAGCUCUCAAAAACAAUUACG